AGCGAACGCUGGCGGCAGGCCCAAUACAUGCAAGUCGAACGGCUCUUCGGAGCAGUGGCGGACGGGUGAGUAACGCGUGGGAAUGUGCCCUUAGGUACGGAACAACACAGGGAAACUUGUGCUAAUACCGUAUGUGCCCUUCGGGGGAAAGAUUUAUCGCCUUUGGAGCAGCCCGCGUUGGAUUAGGUAGUUGGUGAGGUAAAGGCUCACCAAGCCGACGAUCCAUAGCUGGUCUGAGAGGAUGACCAGCCACACUGGAAGUGGGACACGGCCCAGACUCCUACGGGAGGAAGCAGUAGGGAAGCUUGCGCAAUGGGCGAAAGCCUGACGCAGCCAUGCCGCGUGUAUGAUGAAGGUCUUAGGAUUGUAAAAUACUUUCACCGGGGAAGAUAAUGACGGUACCCGGAGAAGAAGCCCCGGCUAACUUCGUGCCAGCAGCCGCCGUAA
Molecule: ribosomal RNA, 447 nt
Filed under: uncultured bacterium
Lineage: Bacteria
Description: partial 16S ribosomal RNA
Rfam family: Bacterial small subunit ribosomal RNA
Source: RNAcentral